CACGUAGGGCGCAAGCGUUGUCCGGAAUUAUUGGGCGUAAAGAGCUCGUAGGUGGUUUGUUACGUCUGCUGUGAAAACCUAGGGCUUAACCCUGGGCUUGCAGUGGAUACGGGCAGACUAGAGGUAGGUAGGGGAGAAUGGAAUUCCUGGUGUAGCGGUGAAAUGCGCAGAUAUCAGGAGGAACACCGGUGGCGAAGGCGGUUCUCUGGGCCUUACCUGACGCUGAGGAGCGAAAGCGUGGGGAGCGAACAGG
Molecule: ribosomal RNA, 253 nt
Filed under: uncultured bacterium
Lineage: Bacteria
Description: partial 16S ribosomal RNA
Rfam family: Bacterial small subunit ribosomal RNA
Source: RNAcentral